GACGAACGCUGGCGGCGUGCUUAACACAUGCAAGUCGAACGGAGUGGCGAACGGGUGAGUAACACGUGGGUGAUCUGCCUUGCACUUCGGGAUAAGCUUGGAAACCUGGUCUAAUACCCGAUAGUUCAAGCUGGGCUCGCGGCCUAUGCGCUUGUGGGUGGGGUAAUGGCCUAGCAAGGCGUCGACGGGUAGCCGGCCUGAGAGGGUGUACGGCCAAAUUGGGACUGAGAUACUGCCCAGACUCCUACGGGAGGCAGCAGUGGGGAAUAUUGCACAAUGGGCGGAAGCCUGAUGCAGCGACGCCGCGUGGGGGAUGAAGGCCUUCGGGUUGUAAACUCCUUUCGACAGGGACGCGGUACCUGUAUAAGAAGCACCGGCUAACUACGUGCCAGCCGCCGCGGUAAUAC
RNAcentral lists this ribosomal RNA (407 nucleotides) under uncultured bacterium. Its description in RNAcentral is "partial 16S ribosomal RNA". It matches the Rfam family "Bacterial small subunit ribosomal RNA", at positions 28 to 526 of the family's 1533-position model. The record is from RNAcentral.